Molecule: ribosomal RNA, 301 nt
Filed under: uncultured bacterium
Lineage: Bacteria
Description: partial 16S ribosomal RNA
Rfam family: Bacterial small subunit ribosomal RNA
Source: RNAcentral
CAGUAGCCGCGGUAAUACAGAGGGUGCGAGCGUUAAUCGGAUUUACUGGGCGUAAAGCGUGCGUAGGCGGCUUCUUAAGUCGGAUGUGAAAUCCCUGAGCUUAACUUAGGAAUUGCAUUCGAUACUGGGAAGCUAGAGUAUGGGAGAGGAUGGUAGAAUUCCAGGUGUAGCGGUGAAAUGCGUAGAGAUCUGAAGGAAUACCGAUGGCGAAGGCAGCCAUCUGGCCUAAUACUGACGCUGAGGUACGAAAGCAUGGGGAGCAAACAGGAUUAGAUACCCCAGUAGUCCCUGUCUCUUAUAC